Molecule: long non-coding RNA, 481 nt
Organism: Myodes glareolus (Bank vole)
Lineage: Eukaryota; Metazoa; Chordata; Mammalia; Rodentia; Cricetidae
Source: RefSeq, a predicted model, not a curated record
GUGGCGGGGCAGUGGGUGCAGCUCUGCCCGGGGCUACUGGCUGCGGUUCCUUGCGGGAUCCACUCCACGUGGCCGGCGCUGCGACCCGUGCCUCGCUGGCUUCGGUGCAGACUGAGUCCGAGAGGCCCCUUUCUCUGCGGUCUUAGCUUUCAAGCGCUCGGAGUUGGGUGCGCGUCGCUUAGAAGGUACCAUCUCCCUAAAACUGCAAACAGUUCAUUCCAUAGUACUUGGAGCUUCUAGCAAGUUCUCACUUUUGAUUUUUCCGGUUCUUCUGAAAGCCAAUUAACUGACAGUGGUUGUAAAAACAGUGUCUUUCGCACAAGAAGUUGUUACUCAUCAUUCAGAACUGGAUCUGCAGAGAACUUCAAGAGAUGACUAUAGAGGCCCUUUCAGUGAAGUUGGAACUCUACACUUUCCAGAACACACGGAGUCAUUUUGUAGCCACAGAGAGUGUGGGUACAAAAAUAAAUAUCGACAUGCA